AGUGAACGCUGGCGGUAGGCCUAACACAUGCAAGUCGAACGGCAGCACAGUAAGAGCUUGCUCUUACGGGUUGCGAGUGGCGGACGGGUGAGGAAUACAUCGGAAUCUACUUUUUCGUGGGGGAUAACGUAGGGAAACUUACGCUAAUACCGCAUACGACCUACGGGUGAAAGCAGGGGAUCUUCGGACCUUGCGCGAUUGAAUGAGCCGAUGUCGGAUUAGCUAGUUGGCGGGGUAAAGGCCCACCAAGGCGACGAUCCGUAGCUGGUCUGAGAGGAUGAUCAGCCACACUGGAACUGAGACACGGUCCAGACUCCUACGGGAGGCAGCAGUGGGGAAUAUUGGACAAUGGGAGCAAGCCUGAUCCAGCCAUACCGCGUGGGUGAAGAAGGCCUUCGGGUUGUAAAGCCCUUUUGUUGGGAAAGAAAAGCAGCAGGUUAAUACCCCGCUGUUCUGACGGUACCCAAAGAAUAAGCACCGGCUAACUUCGUG
This 492-nucleotide ribosomal RNA is filed under the name uncultured bacterium. Its description in RNAcentral is "partial 16S ribosomal RNA". It matches the Rfam family "Bacterial small subunit ribosomal RNA", at positions 29 to 507 of the family's 1533-position model. The record is from RNAcentral.